UGCCUAUUUGAGGAUUGUAUGCUUUUUAAACAUUUUUUUAAAAGUUUAUUUAUUUAUUUUGAGAGAAAGAGAGCACCAGCGAGGGAGGGGCAGAGAGGAGAGACAGAAUCCCAACCAGGCUCGGUGCGAGGCUCAAACUCACGAACUGCGAGAUCAUGGCCUAAGCCAAGAUCAAGAGUUGGAGGCUCGACUGACUGCGCCACGCAGAUGCCGCGGGGAUUGUAGGUUAAAGGUGAAAGAUAUCAGCACAUCUGCCUCUCCUGGUACAUGAGGUCACGCCUGAACCCUGUGGGCUGUGGCAGUGAUAGGUAGAGACGUCGGCUGAAUUUCCGGCUGCUUUGCGCCGAGGCAUCUACUGCGGGAGAUUGAAGUAGUAGAUGUCCCCGUCCUUGUGGGACUCGAAUACCGUAUUAGCUGGCGACUGUUGGUGUCGUGUGGAGUGACAGUCUGACACCCCUGCCAUGAAGUUUGCUGGUAACGCUGAGGUCAGCAGCAGCCCUGACAACAGCUGUGCCGCAGCGGAGGGGAUGCUGUCUGUCCGUGAUCUUCUGCUCGUGGCCAAAGUGCCGAUCCUGCGAGCGCAUAGCCCGUUAGGCGGGAACGUCACCGCCAUUUGCCUGUGUUCUGCUCUGAAGGUGGACAGCCUCCAACACUGUGCCGCUAGACCGGGAACCGGCGUCUUACUUACUGUGAUCAAGAACGUGACCUCAGCAUUAGUGCCUCCUUUGGGUGAGGUCCUGUACUAGGCUGUGUCUACACUGGUGGAUAAAAGAGACAUGUGACCCUUGCACCAUGGAGCUUGGAAUCUGAAGAGGAAGAGCGAGGGAGAGAAUCCCAAGCAAGCUCCUGACUGUCAGCGUAGAGCCCGACACAGGGCUCGAUCUCAUGAAACAUGACAUCGUGACCACAGCCAAGAUCAAGGGUUGGACAUUUAACCGCCUGAGCCACCCAGGCACCCUGUCAUACUUUAGACCUGUGGAAAGGCCAGUAGGAAGGAGCGCGGUGACCCAACAAAGUAACAGACCACAGUCGCCGGUAUUUUCUUUCCUCUUCAAAACCACUUCUGCUCCAAAGACCAUGAACCUGAACUGAAGAAACGACUCUUUCCUGCUGGUGUGAGAUAAUUCAGUCUCCAUGAUGUCUUAAUCCUGGGCCUCCCUUAAUUGACUUCUAACUGUGCUGAACUGUGGCUGCUAGGAGUUGCAAUGUGGAUCGCAAUUUACAAGGCACUGGAAUCGUUUCUCGUCCUCAAAUUAGUCCUGAGCCAUACUCAAGAAAGAUUAAAAAAAAAAAUAGGUUUACCUUUCCUGGCUGUCUUGCCAUCUCAAAAUGGCCACAGAACUUACUCAGCUUUGAAGAGACUGGAUCCUCCAUUUGAGACCUGAAGACCCUCCAUCAUGCAAGACUGACUGCCUGCCUAUAACUUUGUGGAGAGGCUGGUAUUAACAUACCAGGGCUCAUGAGUGAGCAUUCAGAUUGUUCUAUGAGGAUGGUACAGUAUUGAUUUCAAGUUUACAUAAGACACUUGCUUGGAAGCAAAUUACAGGUAGGUACUGGCCUAUACAUUUUCUUACCUUAACAGUUCAAACCUCAAACAGGAGGUAAAGUAUCCUCUUUUAUCUACUUACCCUUGACCUAUGGCCUUAGCCAUGCGUGGCAUAUGCAGAUGAUUUUGAGAAUAUUCAGUUGUGGGUAGGCUACAUGUAUAAAAGUCUAGAGACACGGGAAUGCUUUUUCUAAGUCUGUUUUUCUUGAAAAAAUCCCAUUGAGGAAAUUAUCUGAUGCUUCAUACUCCCACACAUAAAAAGAAAGCAGCUAGAAUAAGAAGAAAAUCAUCAAUUUUAUUACCAUUGGCAGGAUUUACUAACCAUCUAUUUGCACAUGGCUGGGUCCUGGGCAGGGUGGCCCUGCUCUUUUAGAGCUACAACGAGCCUGAAUAAUUUAGAUUAGGUGACUACACUAAUUGAAUUUACCACGUAAUUAGCUCACGGUUUUCACUUCACUUUGCCAUGCAAAUCCUUUCUAAAAAGUAAAACCCAUUCUAAUUUAACUGUUUUAUAAAUACUUCAGAUCAAAGCUUGGCCAACCUACUUAUAUAUUUAUAGAAAGAAUAUACCUCUU
Acinonyx jubatus (cheetah) is the source of this 2121-nucleotide long non-coding RNA. RefSeq lists it as uncharacterized. The record is from RefSeq and is a predicted model, not a curated record. NCBI's taxonomy places the organism in Eukaryota, Metazoa, Chordata, Mammalia, Carnivora, Felidae. The transcript has 6 exons.